Molecule: non-coding RNA, 352 nt
Organism: Pelobates cultripes (western spadefoot toad)
Lineage: Eukaryota; Metazoa; Chordata; Amphibia; Anura; Pelobatidae
Source: the annotation of a GenBank genome assembly
UGUAGGUGGAAGCAGCGGUGGAGGAGGAGGAUGAGGUAGCCAACACUGUUUUUAUAUAUAUAUAUUUUUUAAUUGGGGUAGCCCCCAAAAUAUUGGGACAUAUAAAAAAAGACAACUCUGUUCCGCAGAGUAACUGUUGAUAAUUAUAGUUGCGCAAGCACUUUGUUGACUCCAGAGAACCUCGGACCAAUCGCACAUCCCCGUGGCGGCGACUUUGCAUGCGGAUGUCAUCCAUAUCAACUUUCGAUGCCAGUUUCUGCGCCUACCAUGGUGACCAUGGGUAACGGGGAAUCAGGGUUCCAUUCCGUACAGGGACCCUGAGAAACAGCUACCACAUGCAAGGAAGGCAGCA